Molecule: long non-coding RNA, 980 nt
Organism: Syngnathus acus (greater pipefish)
Lineage: Eukaryota; Metazoa; Chordata; Actinopteri; Syngnathiformes; Syngnathidae
Exons: 2
Source: RefSeq, a predicted model, not a curated record
CUCCCUUCCCCCUUUCACAAAGACAACACAACAUAAAGCAGGCCCACACUCGCGGAAGCUUGAACUGGAUCAGAAACAGAACAACCCAAUUGAAGGGGGAAAGCUACAAAGUAAAGAAAUAUGAGGAGAGCACAUCCAUAUUUUUGUAUGAUCAUUGGUGACUGGAUUGUAUUUCUGGAGCUCACACUUGGUGCCCUUCUUGUGUCUUCCUCCCUCUUCUUCCCUUCUUGAGGGGAGUGACGACAUGACUAUUUUGAUCCAUUUUCCUUUUUUAUAAGGGACAUGUUGAAAAUUCAAUCAAUAAAAGGCCCGGAUGCCUUUUCAACGGACCAGGCGGGUCGCAGCCAAGAGAGCAACGUGGCCAGCCAGCCAGCCAGCCCCGUGGGCGCAAAGCCCCGCCUCCAGCGGAGUCGGCCUCAAAUGGACAUCAACUAUUGAUGGAGACAAACGCGACAUCCACACGCUCACUCACGUGAAAGGCGGCCAGAGCGCCAGCCUUUGAAAGCAUCCGGCUUUCACACAACUUUUGACCACCGCCGUCAGCGACAAGCCCGGCCGGCGCCAGGCAAAUUCACACAACGGCCCGCCCGCCAGCCACAUUGUGACUUUGAGGCUCCAGGCCGCCGAUGGGUCCGUUUGACGGCCGGCCGGCCGGCCGGCCGCUCGCUCGGUUUACCCCAUUUGAGCCUUUGGGGCAUUCCAAACGAAGCAAGCUCUCCCUGAUGCCCUUCCGACUGCCGCGAGUUAUAGGGUUAGCGCCACUGGGAUGCGGCCGACAACAAUUUGGUGGCUUGCUGUGAUUGUGACACGUGAGGCCCCCCCCCCCCCCGAGGGCCCAAAGCGGAAAGAAGGACUUUUCUUUUAGCCAUUUCUGUCGUGGCAUCUCGUGAUGGACGAAAGGCCUCGGCCGUGAUGUCGUCGCCCAGUUAGGGAAAGCCGAGGAGCGAAGAAAAGGCCUCCCUCGUCGGUGUUGGAAAAAA